This 23-nucleotide non-coding RNA is filed under the name Arabidopsis thaliana (thale cress). Lineage: Eukaryota; Viridiplantae; Streptophyta; Magnoliopsida; Brassicales; Brassicaceae. The record is from RNAcentral.
ACAAAUUGAAAUGGUUAUGAUUA